RNAcentral lists this long non-coding RNA (232 nucleotides) under Ananas comosus (pineapple). RNAcentral's name for it is "long non-coding RNA (ACOM_LNC019977)". The record is from RNAcentral. Lineage: Eukaryota; Viridiplantae; Streptophyta; Magnoliopsida; Poales; Bromeliaceae.
AAAGGUAUCUUUUUAACCGCCUCACGCAUGGAACGUGAAGUUCUUUUCCGAAACAAACUCUGACACAAGUUUGUUCCGUAGCGUACUUAAAGCAGGUUUUGUGCACCCGCAAAUUGUCGGUUAAAUAAAAAAAAAUAGAAAAAAAAGUUGUGCAGCGACAUGUGCACGGUGAUUGAAAGCAUCGACGGACGAACGGCAGAUAAGAGUGUCGGUCUACACUGAUAUGGUGGGC